This 431-nucleotide long non-coding RNA is filed under the name Eucalyptus grandis. Its description in RNAcentral is "long non-coding RNA (EGRA_LNC007888)". Lineage: Eukaryota; Viridiplantae; Streptophyta; Magnoliopsida; Myrtales; Myrtaceae. The record is from RNAcentral.
UGGAUCGUUGCGGAGGAAGACGUGUGGCGUGGCUGUUGUUCCGCUCGGUGGGGUCUUCGUUCGGUGGAGCUUCUUCACGGGACGUUGACCGAGCUUGGAGAUGGGUUUAACCCAGUAAAUUCGAAGACACGACAUGGUAGAUUCGGUGGAGCUGCAAGUGAUGGCUUCGGUCGAAGAUAAUGAAGGAAAGAAGACUUGGGGUCUUCGGUGAACUGCAGGGGUGCACGAUGGAAUUCUGUGAAGAGGAGGGACGCGCGACUGCUCCUUCCGCUGGCUUCUUCCUUGCCAAAUGGUGGUGUCAGAAAAAUGAGAGGGGGAGAGGUUAUUAUCGCCGGUUGAGGGGGUGAGAGGAAGAGAUGGAUAGAGAUGAGUGAGGGUUGGGCUCCACUUGGAUGGAUAUUUCACAAAAUAUCUUCCAAAAUCACUCUUGG